GCCAGGCACAGAUGAGAAGAAGGAUGUUCAACAACUUCCCUUUGGCAUGUGCCCAAAGAAGGCUUGGGGGGGGGAGAGAAUGUGUUCCUAACAGCCAAUUAUGAUGCACUGCACUUAUAAGCCAAGGCAGGAUGUCACACAGCUGCUACAGGGAAAGACACUCCAUUCUACCAGCAGCUAGUCCAGGGUUAGAUGUGGCACAGAACUGAGCAGAGCUGAAGCAUGACACAAAAGAUGGAAGCAAGAUUUAGAAGACUCACGCAUGUACCAUUCUGGAAUAUAUUUCAGCCAGCAAAGCAGGAUCCAACAAUUGGUUUUUGUUGUGGUAAAGUCAUCAUGAGGUAUCAUGAUGGUAACAGUUAGAAUUUAAUGGUAAGUUUUGGACUUGGAUCAGGGAAAGCUAGAUUCAAACCCAAUUAAGCCAUGCAGCUAACUAUAUAAUCUUGGUGGGUGAGAGACGUCAUCUACCUCAAAGGGUUGAUGGGAAAGCACGUGUAAGUCAUCCUGGAGGGGAAAACAAUGGGAUUUUGUAGAAAAAAUGGAAGUUAGUUCUUAGAAGAUUCUGAGGGUUUUUAUUAAAUAAAAAAGGGGAAAAAAUAUGACUAAUGAAUUUCCAUUGGCAAUUGUAGCUUAGCAAUUUAAAUUUAUACAAUUGGAUAUUGAAAUUGACCCCAAACGUGCAUUCAGACACACAACAAUUUGGCAGUGUAGUGCUGCAUCAUUUAUGAGUAACUGAAAGACUUUCCCAUAACAUCCCAACAGUAUGUAACUUAUGCAAACUGGCCACUACCACCAUAUGACUAAAUAAUUUAAGAUGUGCUUACAUCCAGCAGGAUUUAAAAUUAAGUAUGUCGUUUGAUGAAUAGGGGUGCAUUUUUCAAAGCCCUUUGUAUGCCGAAACAGGAACCUAUAAGAAGAAUAAGAGUUAAUGCUCUUUGGAAGUUUUAUGUAACUAAAAUCCAGCAAAAAUUGAAUUUGGAGCAAGAUCUCAAAGACAAAUGGUGUAGGGCAAAAUGCCAAGAACAGAUGCAUUAAUAAUCCCCAUAAAGCAAUGGUAGCCAACUAAUUUGAGAUAUUAAAGGAAAUCAUGAGUUUAAACUUUCCUAUAUUUCGAAGAUGCAAGGUUCCAUCGAUAAGUGCAGGAAAUAUUAAACUACACCAUUAAUGCACAAGGAGAACAAUAAAAUAUCCAGAGAUCUUAUUUCAGUUCUUUAUUUUUACUUUCGAAAUGGAAUCCAUUAUCUUACGUGAAUGAUUGUAAAGACUUACUGUACCUUUUAGGGAUUCUUUUAUGCUGUUUUUAUAAAUUGCCAAUUGUAAUCAAGUAGUAUGGAUUUGGGUGCAUGACAUCUUUAUUGGACCAAUUUAUACAGAUGAAAAUGUGUGCAGACUUUCUAGUUUCACAGAAACUUUGUUAAGCAAAAUGGAAAAGUACCUGUCUUUUAUAAUAUAUGGGAGGAGACACAAACCUUUCAAAUCUACAAUCUAUUUUAAAAUAAUACUCUUCAACAAGAAUAUAUUAUAGAUGUGAAACACAUACCCCCACCAGCUCAACUAGUAAUUGUCCGUGUUUCUGAACUUGCUUGAUGAGUUCUUACAGAAAACUUCCAUUGUCCCUACCAUCCCAGAAUUCUCUUGAUUCCUAGUGUUGGUGCAUGCAUGCUGCUGGUGCCUUGCUUGUACUUCAGCUGGUGCAAAUGCUGUUGACAGGGUUUGAGCUAGAGCCCAUUCGGUCUGCACUGGCUUCCAGUUUGGUUGUUUGUUUCCUGAGCUUAAUUCAAAGCUCUUAAUGCGGGGCUUGACCUCUUUCCGCAGGGCCUGCAAGACAGAGCUGUUCCACCAGGCCUUUGGCCAGGGCACAGCCUGACUCCCUCCUUUGGCAAUCUUCACAGAACUCUAGCCCAAUGGUUGCCAUUAAUUUGAUUUGAAUUAAUUUUAUAAUGAAAUGAUUUUAGAAUGUUGUAUUUUUUAUUUAUUUAUUUAUAGAAUGUUUUAUUUAUUUAUUUUAUUGUUGUUAGCCGCCCUGAGCCCAGCUUCGGCUGGGGAGGGUGGGAUAUAAAUAAAAAAAAAUUAUUAUUAUUAUUAUUAUUAUUAUUAUUAUUAUUAAUGGUUGGGAUCAGAAUAUUUAAUGGACUACCUUUCCCCACAUUGAAUUUGCCCAUUCACAGAGGAGUCCUGGGACAAGGCUUUUACAUUUGUGGCUUGUGGUGAUCCCUGCCUCAAGAGACCCAAUGGAUCUUCUCCUUACUGGCAUUGCAGCA
Non-coding RNA from Podarcis lilfordi (Lilford's wall lizard), 2261 nucleotides. Lineage: Eukaryota; Metazoa; Chordata; Lepidosauria; Squamata; Lacertidae. The record is from the annotation of a GenBank genome assembly.